UGCCUUACACAUGCAAGUCGAACGGCAGCACGGGAGCAAUCCUGGUGGCGAGUGGCGAACGGGUGAGUAAUAUAUCGGAACGUGCCCAGUCGUGGGGGAUAACGUAGCGAAAGCUACGCUAAUACCGCAUACGAUCUACGGAUGAAAGCGGGGGACUCGUAAGGGCCUCGCGCGAUUGGAGCGGCCGAUAUCAGAUUAGGUUGUUGGUGAGGUAAAAGCUCACCAAGCCUGCGAUCUGUAGCUGGUCUGAGAGGACGACCAGCCACACUGGAACUGAGACACGGUCCAGACUCCUACGGGAGGCAGCAGUGGGGAAUUUUGGACAAUGGACGCAAGUCUGAUCCAGCAAUGCCGCGUGCAGGACGAAGGCCUUCGGGUUGUAAACGGC
RNAcentral lists this ribosomal RNA (388 nucleotides) under uncultured organism. RNAcentral describes it as "bacterial SSU rRNA". It matches the Rfam family "Bacterial small subunit ribosomal RNA", at positions 45 to 433 of the family's 1533-position model. The record is from RNAcentral.